AUCAGCACGGUGAAGCGGGUGAAUUCUCAUUCCUGCCAUGCAAAAUUAGCUGGCAUUAGAAAGGAAAGAAGCUCAUCGCUUUGAGGCACUAAUCUCCGGACUUCUAGAGGCAUGAAGAGAGAGAGCAGCACAAGUAAAGCUGAACUGAGCCAUAUGUGGAACUAAGCCCCUACAGAUAUUAUCUUACUUAAUCCUCACAAUCUCCCUAAGAUGACGGGUGCCCCAGCCUGGAAGGCCCUCAGCUAGGUGCUGUGGGAGAUGCCAAGCCAAGUGUGAGUUGGCCUUGGGGACAAUUUGGACAUGAACAGAACAGAG
RNAcentral lists this long non-coding RNA (315 nucleotides) under Felis catus (domestic cat). RNAcentral's name for it is "lncRNA (ENSFCAG00000046887.1)". Lineage: Eukaryota; Metazoa; Chordata; Mammalia; Carnivora; Felidae. The record is from RNAcentral.